GUGUAAUGUGUAAUGCUCUUUCAUUUUAUCAUUGAAUUUUCUAACUUUUAUCCUUAUUUUACUGGAAUUAAUCGCCGUCUGGAAUUUUUCAGAACAUGAACGAAACUAAUCAAUUGUAGCGCAAUAUUUUCUUAUGACAUAUAAAAAUGCAGAAAAAAGAGAAUCCGGCUGUAU
Caenorhabditis elegans is the source of this 174-nucleotide non-coding RNA. NCBI's taxonomy places the organism in Eukaryota, Metazoa, Nematoda, Chromadorea, Rhabditida, Rhabditidae. The record is from Ensembl.